CUUGGUCAUUUAGAGGAAGUAAAAGUCGUAACAAGGUUUCCGUAGGUGAACCUGCGGAAGGAUCAUUACAUGUUUGAAUUAGCUGCUCCCCCCUCAAAACGGGGCCAGUUAUUCUUCUACCCAUGCCCUUUUGCGUACUGCUUGUUUCCUCGGUAGCCUCGCCUACCGAUAGGACAACUUAAAAACCCUUUUUUUGUAAUUGCAAUCAGCGUCAAAAGAUAACUUAAUAGUUACAACUUUCAACAACGGAUCUCUUGGUUCUGGCAUCGAUGAAGAACGCAGCGAAAUGCGAUAAGUAGUGUGAAUUGCAGAAUUCAGUGAAUCAUCGAAUCUUUGAACGCACGUUGCGCCCCUUGGUAUUCCAUGGGGCAUGCCUGUUCGAGCGUCAUUUGUACCCUCAAGCUUUGCUUGGUGUUGGGCGUCUUUGUCUCGCGUUGUCGCGUGGACUCGCCUGAAAGCGAUUGGCAGCCGGCAUGUUUGGCCUUGGAGCGCAGCACAUUUUGCGCUUCUGGUCACGAAUGUCAGCGUCCAUUAAGCCCUCUUUUACAUUUGCGAUUGACCUCGGAUCAGGUAGGGAUACCCGCUGAACUUAAGCAUAUCAAUAAGCGGAGGAAC
Molecule: ribosomal RNA, 615 nt
Filed under: uncultured Ochrocladosporium
Lineage: Eukaryota; Fungi; Ascomycota; Dothideomycetes; Pleosporales
Description: eukaryotic LSU rRNA
Rfam family: 5.8S ribosomal RNA (bases 235-388)
Source: RNAcentral